UACGUAGGGGGCAAGCGUUGUCAGGAAUCAUUGGGCGUAAAGAGCGUGUAGGCGGCCCGAUAAGUCCGCUGUGAAAGUCCAGGGCUCAACCCUGGAAUGCCGGUGGAUACUGUCGGGCUCGAAUCCGGAAGAGGUGAGUGGAGUUCCUGGUGUAGCGGUGAAAUGCGCAGAUAUCAGGAGGAACACCAAUGGCGAAGGCAGCUCACUGGGACGGUAUUGACGCUGAGACGCGAAAGCGUGGGGAGCAAACAGG
This 253-nucleotide ribosomal RNA is filed under the name uncultured bacterium. RNAcentral describes it as "partial 16S ribosomal RNA". It matches the Rfam family "Bacterial small subunit ribosomal RNA", at positions 524 to 776 of the family's 1533-position model. The record is from RNAcentral.